Molecule: non-coding RNA, 2630 nt
Organism: Rattus norvegicus (Norway rat)
Lineage: Eukaryota; Metazoa; Chordata; Mammalia; Rodentia; Muridae
Source: RefSeq, a predicted model, not a curated record
AUUCACUUAAGCAACGGAAACUCAACUGCAGGAAAGCACCUUAAAAUCCAUCCUUUCUUUGGGUGGGAAGGAAGCCGGUGCAGCUUCUCCCCGAUUUCCUAACAUACCGGUCAGGAUAUUUCGCAGAUGACAUUUGUUUGCCCUGGACUCACAGCACACGUGAUAGCUGGAGGCAGGAUCAAAGUGCACUCAGAAGGACUAAGGCUGUCCUCUAAGCUUGCCCAGUGACAAGACAAGAGAAGGAAAAGAGAAAUCCAACACUCAGCACAAAGAGACGAAGCUGUUAACGUUUGCAAUCAGUAUAAUGACCUACAUCAAAAACACACAGGCACCAAAAUCUUCUUGUAAUUAAACACGAAUUCAUCAAAAGAAGUGUGAGUGGAAUCAGCAAACAACAUUAAGAGUUUCUGUGUGACACGAAGAUAAAUAAUUAGAAAGUGUAAUUGUUAUAAUCUUUUAACAAAAAAACAAAACAAAAUAAACAGACAUGAGGCAAUGUCAGCAGGAAAAAAAAAAGUGUGGGGUACUUUGAGAUGUGAAAGACAAUACAGAGUGAAGCCAAGGAUUUGAACCCAGAGCUUUGUACAUACAGUGUACAAAGUGCUCUACCUCAGAGCUCCAUCCUCAGCUAAGAUAACGGUCUUCUAAAUCCUAGCUCACAUACAGCUUUUUGAAAGCAAAGCCCCCCUUUGAGCCAACCCACUGUUAUCUACAGAUUUGGUACUUGGUUAGCAGCUGAAGAUGUUGAGAAAAUGUCUUUUCAGAAAACAAGAUGAGGCUUUGCAUGGGGAGCAGGAAGAGAGGCUGAGAUAAAGAAGACGAAACUUGGCAGUCUUGGAAAAGUUUCUCCUUGCUGGCCCCGACUAAGGUGAUACCCAGACGUGGGAGAUAAGGCCUCCCCACCGCCCCACGCAUGCCCCACAAAACCUCUGUGGCCAAACAGAUGGCAGCAGCACAUUUUUAAACCGCUUUUCACACAGUCACUGUUUUUUGCCGCUUGCUCUUUAGUCAAAAGUCUCACCAGCUGUCACCAUCUCAAGGAAAAUGUCAGGGGCCGUAUCUGCCUAUGCCUGUGCUCAAGCCAGCAGGGGACAGGGGCCCAGGAACCUCAGCUAGCGUAGGUACAGCUGGUAAGGUGAUAAAAGACGAGGGUUCCUCACAAAAUGAACGUAAAUAAGUUCAUGGCCAAUCCUUCCCCACCUUCCCAGGAACUAAAUGUCUAUCCCUCCCAUUCCUGAUCUUCCCCGGCACAUCUCACUGAGGUCCAUGCUAGCAUUUCCACUCCAUAGAAAGAACAGUGGAGAAGCCUGGCGUAGAGCCACACAACUGACCCUGUGGGAUCCUUUCCUUCUCUGGACCUCAGUGUCACAAUGAAGCCAGCUAGAUGUCCUCUGAAGGCCCUCUCAGCAGGGCUCUGGAUUCUUGCCUGAUGUCAGCCAAGUAUUUCUGAUUCCUCUCUGACCACCACAAGGACAGCCUACUAAAUCCCCAGAAAUCGAAGCCUAGGGACUGCCAGAGGAUACCAAAAUCCUGCCCUUGUUUUUUCUACACACACACAUACACACACACACACACACACACACACACACACAUACACACACACACACACACACACACACACACACACACACACACACACACACACACACAUAUCACUAGCUACCAGAAGGGGAAGAGAAAAGAAUCUCGAUUAGUAAUUCACUGAACCAAAUCCCUGCAGCCUUCCAAACUACACAGUCAAACCGAUGGAGAACUUGGGAGACGUGUUUAAAUUUUUCCCGUUUAACCAUGUAAUUGUUUUUAUUCCCAGUUAUCUCCUCUUGGAGGCGUCUGCUUGACUUACUGAGUACAUCUUUCUCCAUAUUUGAAAUCAUUCAUCAAUCACUCCAUUACGCACAAUGAAUUUCACUGCCACUAAGUUGCCACACGCUACAUGGAGGAGAAGACGUGUGGGUAUGAUCUCUCCGAGUCAGGGGCAGGCUCAGAGCUCAGCCCCGGAACCUGCUUCAGAUCCGCUAAUCUCUGCUCAUUAUUCUUCCAGCAUCAAGGUGGCCCAGAGAGCUGUCCUGAAGAGACGAUCUCUAAAGAUAUUUCUAUUUUUCCUGUUCCAGGGGUUGGAACUAGGGUCUGGGCAAAUGCUGCGUCUAGCUAGUUCCUACCUUUGGAUCAAUGUACACAGUAAAACGGAGCAGGAACUGGGCUUGACGCUAAGCCUCCGUGACCCUGCUGCCUUGACACAGAGAUCCAGUCUCCUUGAACACCACAUACGUGGCAUCGUCAAUGUAGAAAAGUCAAAUGUGUUUACUGCUUUCUGCACGGCUGCCAGCUGGCUGCUCUCUCGGGGGACUCUGAAGCCGAGCUUACAAACAGUGACUUCUGUUGAGCUUACAGUCAACAAGUGGCUCCGGCAUGGGGAGGAGGAACUAAAUCACUGCCCUGUGGGACCUCAGGAUCGGAGCCGCAGGACCUCGGAGGCCAGACUCUAGGAUUUCCCAGGCUGCUGCCCUUGCAUCAUGUAUGAAGCCUACCGAGCACAUUCACGCCCAACUUCUCUCCGCACGCCGGGAAACGCUGACUUUUGAACCACACAUUUAAACUGAUAAUAGAGCCCCGAAGGAGCAUUCUAGUUU